Molecule: unclassified non-coding RNA, 252 nt
Filed under: Chaetothyriales sp.
Lineage: Eukaryota; Fungi; Ascomycota; Eurotiomycetes; Chaetothyriales
Description: partial contains small subunit ribosomal RNA, internal transcribed spacer 1, and 5.8S ribosomal RNA
Rfam family: Eukaryotic small subunit ribosomal RNA (bases 1-46)
Source: RNAcentral
AAGUCGUAACAAGGUUUCCGUAGGUGAACCUGCGGAAGGAUCAUUAACGAGUUAGGGUCUUCUAGGCCCGAUCUCCAACCCUUUGUAUAAUCACCAUGUUGCUUUGGCGGGCCCGUCUUUAACCGGACCGCCGGGAGGUUUCAAACCCCUGGCCAGUGCUCGUCAAUAGCCCUUCAUAAACUCUUUUAACCAUGUUAAAUCUGAAAAUAUUUAAAUAAACUAAAACUUUCAACAACGGAUCUCUUGGUUCUG